RNAcentral lists this ribosomal RNA (685 nucleotides) under uncultured Alphaproteobacteria bacterium. RNAcentral describes it as "bacterial SSU rRNA". It matches the Rfam family "Bacterial small subunit ribosomal RNA", at positions 28 to 759 of the family's 1533-position model. The record is from RNAcentral. Lineage: Bacteria; Pseudomonadati; Pseudomonadota; Alphaproteobacteria.
AACGAACGCUGGCGGCAUGCCUAACACAUGCAAGUCGAACGAAGGCUUCGGCCUUAGUGGCGCACGGGUGCGUAACGCGUGGGAAUCUGCCCUUAGGUUCGGAAUAACAGCUGGAAACGGCUGCUAAUACCGGAUGAUGACGAAAGUCCAAAGAUUUAUCGCCUGAGGAUGAGCCCGCGUUGGAUUAGGUAGUUGGUGGGGUAAAGGCCUACCAAGCCGACGAUCCAUAGCUGGUCUGAGAGGAUGAUCAGCCACACUGGGACUGAGACACGGCCCAGACUCCUACGGGAGGCAGCAGUGGGGAAUAUUGGACAAUGGGCGAAAGCCUGAUCCAGCAAUGCCGCGUGAGUGAUGAAGGCCCUAGGGUUGUAAAGCUCUUUUACCCGGGAAGAUAAUGACUGUACCGGGAGAAUAAGCCCCGGCUAACUCCGUGCCAGCAGCCGCGGUAAUACGGAGGGGGCUAGCGUUGUUCGGAAUUACUGGGCGUAAAGCGCACGUAGGCGGCUUUGUAAGUCAGAGGUGAAAGCCUGGAGCUCAACUCCAGAACUGCCUUUGAGACUGCAUCGCUUGAAUCCAGGAGAGGUCAGUGGAAUUCCGAGUGUAGAGGUGAAAUUCGUAGAUAUUCGGAAGAACACCAGUGGCGAAGGCGGCUGACUGGACUGGUAUUGACGCUGAGGUGCGAAAG